AACUUUUAGCAAUGGAUCACUUGGCUCUCCCAUCGAUGAAGAACGCAGCGAAAUGCGAUAAGUAAUGUGAAUUGCAGAAUUCAGUGAAUCAUCGAAUCUUUGAACGCACCUUGCGCCCUUUGGUAUUCCGAAGGGCAUGCCUGUUUGAGUGUCAUUAAAUUCUCAACCCAAAAAGCUUUUACUAGCUCUUUUUGUGGCUUGGAUGUGGGGGUUUUUGCUGGCUUCCUUCAGUGGAUGGUCUGCUCCCCUUAAAUGCAUUAGUGGGAUCUCUUGUGGACCGUCACUUGGUGUGAUAAUUAUCUAUACCACGUUGACUUUGAAGCAAAACUUAUGGGAACCCGCUCAUAACCGUCUUCGGACAACUCUUGACAUUUUGAGCUCAAAUCAGGUAGGACUACCCGCUGAACUUAAGCAUAUCAAUAAGCGGAGGCU
This 432-nucleotide unclassified non-coding RNA is filed under the name uncultured Mycena. RNAcentral describes it as "sequence contains ITS2". The stretch from base 1 to 154 matches the Rfam family "5.8S ribosomal RNA". Lineage: Eukaryota; Fungi; Basidiomycota; Agaricomycetes; Agaricales; Tricholomataceae. The record is from RNAcentral.